AGUAUACACCUGCGAACAAGUAAGUCAGUGAUAUCAAUGCCUAAGAAUUACUUUUUUUGCCAUUCUAAUCGUUACAUCAGAGAGCAAUGGAUAUAGAAGAAAUAUGUAAACAGUUGUCCCUAGAAGAAAUAUGCAACAACUUAUUCAGUAGAGAGCAAGGGACAUAUAAGAAAUCUCUAGGCAGCUUCACUUAGAUGCAUCAUCUUUUGCUAGGAGUCAGCUUGAAGAACGACCUUCUCAGGAGACUGCAACUGACAUGCUGGAUGGGGAAUAACCAAAUUUGUGGACAAAGACAAAGAGUUCAUCACAAGGGGUGGUGUUUAGGAUAUAUACACAAAAGAGGAAACUUUUUUUGUACAGAACCAAAUUAUAUGAUGUAAUUGACCACUAUUUCUAAGAAAU
This is a non-coding RNA of Triticum urartu, 402 nucleotides long. The record is from RefSeq and is a predicted model, not a curated record. NCBI's taxonomy places the organism in Eukaryota, Viridiplantae, Streptophyta, Magnoliopsida, Poales, Poaceae.